CCCAACACCGGCAACUUCCCGUAAAUCUGCUCUGAAAUUUUAUCCUGCUCGCUGAGCCUCCGCUGGCUGAAGGCCAGUGCAACAUUCCUGUUGUUUUAGGAGCGCAGAUACCUUUGCUGAAGGUUGGGGAUAAAAACAAAACAAAACAAAUCUGCCUUGAUGGGGAAGAGACGUGGGGACUUCACCACACAGACUUGUCGCUCCCCGCUCAAAAAGUCACAUCCAUUUUAGACAGCCAAGAAAUAGCCCCAGCAGUGGCACCUGCUCCACCUGAGGACAUCUGCCCGAAAUCAGACGUCUGGCCCCCCGCUUUGGGCGGUUGAGGGAAACCAAGCAGAACCACGUUUGAGGAAUAAGGAACCAGCUGUUGAAUCACGAGCCGAUUCAUUCCUUGUUACUAUAUGAAGAUCCGGCACUGUGACCCCUUCAGGGUUCCCUCACCAUAUCUAAGAUGCCGGAUACAGACAAGCGUUCCACAGCCUCAAGACAACUUAAAAACUCUGACUCCACAUAGCUCAGAUUUUUCUUUUCCGCAAAUCAUUCAAUAUCACAGUAAUCCAAGUCUAUGCCCUGACCAGUAAUGCUGAAGAAGCUGAAGUUGAAUGGUUCUAUGAAGACCUAUAAGACCUUCUAGAACUAACACCCAAAAAAGAUGUCCUCUUCAUUACAGGGGACUGCAAUGCAAAAGUAGAAAGUCAAGAGAUAACUGGAGUAACAG
Bos taurus (domestic cattle) is the source of this 718-nucleotide long non-coding RNA. Lineage: Eukaryota; Metazoa; Chordata; Mammalia; Artiodactyla; Bovidae. The record is from Ensembl.